RNAcentral lists this ribosomal RNA (253 nucleotides) under uncultured bacterium. RNAcentral's name for it is "partial 16S ribosomal RNA". It matches the Rfam family "Bacterial small subunit ribosomal RNA", at positions 524 to 776 of the family's 1533-position model. The record is from RNAcentral.
UACGAACCGUACAACCGUUAUUCGGAAUCACUGGGCUUAAAGGGUGCGUAGGCGGCCAUGUAAGUGGGGUGUGAAAUCCCUCGGCUCAACCGAGGAACUGCGCUCCAUACUGCAUGGCUUGAGGGAGACAGGGGUAAGCGGAACUGAUGGUGGAGCGGUGAAAUGCGUUGAUAUCAUCAGGAACACCGGUGGCGAAAGCGGCUUACUGGGUCUCUUCUGACGCUGAGGUACGAAAGCGUGGGGAGCAAAAGGG